Molecule: ribosomal RNA, 1470 nt
Filed under: Streptococcus agalactiae
Lineage: Bacteria; Bacillati; Bacillota; Bacilli; Lactobacillales; Streptococcaceae
Description: bacterial SSU rRNA
Rfam family: Bacterial small subunit ribosomal RNA
Source: RNAcentral
CUGGCGGCGUGCCUAAUACAUGCAAGUAGAACGCUGAGGUUUGGUGUUUACACUAGACUGAUGAGUUGCGAACGGGUGAGUAACGCGUAGGUAACCUGCCUCAUAGCGGGGGAUAACUAUUGGAAACGAUAGCUAAUACCGCAUAAGAGUAAUUAACACAUGUUAGUUAUUUAAAAGGAGCAAUUGCUUCACUGUGAGAUGGACCUGCGUUGUAUUAGCUAGUUGGUGAGGUAAAGGCUCACCAAGGCGACGAUACAUAGCCGACCUGAGAGGGUGAUCGGCCACACUGGGACUGAGACACGGCCCAGACUCCUACGGGAGGCAGCAGUAGGGAAUCUUCGGCAAUGGACGGAAGUCUGACCGAGCAACGCCGCGUGAGUGAAGAAGGUUUUCGGAUCGUAAAGCUCUGUUGUUAGAGAAGAACGUUGGUAGGAGUGGAAAAUCUACCAAGUGACGGUAACUAACCAGAAAGGGACGGCUAACUACGUGCCAGCAGCCGCGGUAAUACGUAGGUCCCGAGCGUUGUCCGGAUUUAUUGGGCGUAAAGCGAGCGCAGGCGGUUCUUUAAGUCUGAAGUUAAAGGCAGUGGCUUAACCAUUGUACGCUUUGGAAACUGGAGGACUUGAGUGCAGAAGGGGAGAGUGGAAUUCCAUGUGUAGCGGUGAAAUGCGUAGAUAUAUGGAGGAACACCGGUGGCGAAAGCGGCUCUCUGGUCUGUAACUGACGCUGAGGCUCGAAAGCUNGGGGAGCAAACAGGAUUAGAUACCCUGGUAGUCCACGCCGUAAACGAUGAGUGCUAGGUGUUAGGCCCUUUCCGGGGCUUAGUGCCGCAGCUAACGCAUUAAGCACUCCGCCUGGGGAGUACGACCGCAAGGUUGAAACUCAAAGGAAUUGACGGGGGCCCGCACAAGCGGUGGAGCAUGUGGUUUAAUUCGAAGCAACGCGAAGAACCUUACCAGGUCUUGACAUCCUUCUGACCGGCCUAGAGAUAGGCUUUCUCUUCGGAGCAGAAGUGACAGGUGGUGCAUGGUUGUCGUCAGCUCGUGUCGUGAGAUGUUGGGUUAAGUCCCGCAACGAGCGCAACCCCUAUUGUUAGUUGCCAUCAUUAAGUUGGGCACUCUAGCGAGACUGCCGGUAAUAAACCGGAGGAAGGUGGGGAUGACGUCAAAUCAUCAUGCCCCUUAUGACCUGGGCUACACACGUGCUACAAUGGUUGGUACAACGAGUCGCAAGCCGGUGACGGCAAGCUAAUCUCUUAAAGCCAAUCUCAGUUCGGAUUGUAGGCUGCAACUCGCCUACAUGAAGUCGGAAUCGCUAGUAAUCGCGGAUCAGCACGCCGCGGUGAAUACGUUCCCGGGCCUUGUACACACCGCCCGUCACACCACGAGAGUUUGUAACACCCGAAGUCGGUGAGGUAACCUUUUAGGAGCCAGCCGCCUAAGGUGGGAUAGAUGAUUGGGGUGAAGUCGU